AAACCCCACUCAUAAAAAAAAAAAAUUUUUAUAUAUAAAUAAAUAAAGAUCACUUUCAACAACGGAUCUCUUGGCUCUCGCAUCGAUGAAGAACGUAGCGAAGUGCGAUAAGUAAUGUGAAUUGCAAAUUCCGUGAAUCAUCGAAUCUUUU
RNAcentral lists this ribosomal RNA (151 nucleotides) under uncultured Glomus. RNAcentral's name for it is "5.8S ribosomal RNA". The stretch from base 51 to 151 matches the Rfam family "5.8S ribosomal RNA", at positions 1 to 102 of the family's 154-position model. From Rfam's summary of the family: 5.8S ribosomal RNA (5.8S rRNA) is a component of the large subunit of the eukaryotic ribosome. It is transcribed by RNA polymerase I as part of the 45S precursor that also contains 18S and 28S rRNA. Lineage: Eukaryota; Fungi; Glomeromycota; Glomeromycetes; Glomerales; Glomeraceae. The record is from RNAcentral.